This 358-nucleotide ribosomal RNA is filed under the name uncultured bacterium. Its description in RNAcentral is "bacterial SSU rRNA". It matches the Rfam family "Bacterial small subunit ribosomal RNA", at positions 990 to 1345 of the family's 1533-position model. The record is from RNAcentral.
ACUGACCGGUCCUUAAUCGGGCCUUUCCUUCGGGACAGUUGAAGACAGGUGGUGCAUGGUUGUCGUCAGCUCGUGUCGUGAGAUGUUGGGUUAAGUCCCGCAACGAGCGCAACCCCUAUUACUAGUAGCCAGCGGUUCGGCCGGGCACUCUAGGUGAGACGUGCCGGGGAUAACCCGGAGGAAGGUGGGGAUGACGUCAAAUCAUCAUGCCCCUUACGAUUUGGGCUACACACGUGCUACAAUGGCGUAAACAAAGGGAAGCGACCCUCGUGAGAGUGAGCAAAUCUCAAAAAUAACGUCUCAGUUCGGAUUGUAGUCUGCAACUCGACUACAUGAAGCUGGAAUCGCUAGUAAUCGC